UAAAAAAAGGUAAGCUACUAAGAGCGAAUGGUGGAUGCCUUGACUGGUAAAGGCGAUGAAGGACGUACUAGACUGCGAUAAGCUACGGGGAGCUGUCAAGAAGCUUUGAUCCGUAGAUUUCCGAAUGGGGCAACCCAAUGUAUAGAGAUAUACAUUACCUAUAUAGGAGCGAACGAGGGGAAUUGAAACAUCUUAGUACCCUCAGGAAAAGAAAUCAAUAGAGAUUGCGUCAGUAGCGGCGAGCGAAAGCGCAAGAGGGCAAACCCAGUGCUUGCACUGGGGGUUGUAGGACUGCAAU
RNAcentral lists this ribosomal RNA (298 nucleotides) under Campylobacter jejuni. Its description in RNAcentral is "partial 23S ribosomal RNA". It matches the Rfam family "Bacterial large subunit ribosomal RNA", at positions 1 to 312 of the family's 2925-position model. Lineage: Bacteria; Pseudomonadati; Campylobacterota; Epsilonproteobacteria; Campylobacterales; Campylobacteraceae. The record is from RNAcentral.